GAUGAAGAACGCAGUGAAAUGCGAUAAGUAAUGUGAAUUGCAGAAUUCAGUGAAUCAUCGAAUCUUUGAACGCACAUUGCGCCCCUUGGUAUUCCGAGGGGCAUGCCUGUUCGAGCGUCAUUAUAACCCCUCAAGCUCAGCUUGGUGUUGGGGCCUGCUGCACUGGCAGCCCUUAAAAUCAGUGGCGGCGCCAUCUGGCUCUAAGCGUAGUAAUUCUUCUCGCUAUGGAGUCCUGGUGGAUGCUUGCCAUCAACCCCCAAUUUUUCUAUGGUUGACCUCGGAUCAGGUAGGGAUACCCGCUGAACUUAAGCAUAUCAAUAAGCGGAGA
RNAcentral lists this unclassified non-coding RNA (328 nucleotides) under soil metagenome. RNAcentral's name for it is "partial contains 5.8S ribosomal RNA, internal transcribed spacer 2, and large subunit ribosomal RNA". The stretch from base 1 to 120 matches the Rfam family "5.8S ribosomal RNA", at positions 35 to 154 of the family's 154-position model. The record is from RNAcentral.